RNAcentral lists this ribosomal RNA (685 nucleotides) under Porites lutea. RNAcentral's name for it is "partial 12S ribosomal RNA". It matches the Rfam family "Bacterial small subunit ribosomal RNA", at positions 642 to 1491 of the family's 1533-position model. The record is from RNAcentral. Lineage: Eukaryota; Metazoa; Cnidaria; Anthozoa; Scleractinia; Poritidae. RNAcentral also lists the same sequence under 11 other names.
UUAUUUAAGAGAGUAAAUGGAAUUUUUCUGUAAUGGUGGUAUGUGUAAAUAGGAAAAAGAACUUUAGACGUGAAGACUAUUUACUUCUAAGAUUAUAAUGUGUUGGCUAAAACACGAGAGUGUGGGGAGCAAACAGGAUUAGGUACCCUGGUAGUCCAUACUGUAAAUAAUGAAAAAGAUGUGAAGCAAUUCUAAAAGGUAAGAACUUUUCCGCUUGAGUAGUACGAUCGCAAGAUUAAAAUUCAAAAAACUUGGCUGUUCACUGUUUUGAUUAGAGGAGCGUGUCGUUUAAUUCGAUAGUCCGCGAGAGACCUUACCCAAACUUGAAUCCCUCAUUGACAGGUAUUGCAUGGCCGUCGUCAAUUUGUGUAUUAAACAUAAAACAAAUUCAACCCAGUGGUUUGUCUAUUGGAUGAAGUCAGGUCUUAUUGUCCUAAUGUUUGGGGAUUAGAUGCGCUACAUUUUUUUAUACAAUGGGAAACUUUGAAUGUGAAACCCAAAAAUAAGAGUUCGGAAGGUGUCUGGAAUAUAACGGAAAGUUGGAUUUAAUAGUAAUUGAAAAGUAGAGCGUUUCAAUGAAAUUUAUUCAGUGUUAGUACAAAUUGCCCGUCGCCUUUGCUUAGAAAGGUUGUUUGGUUGCCCCUCAAGAGGGUUCCUAAUAUCUUCGAGGUAGAGUAAGUCGUAA